Brachypodium distachyon (stiff brome) is the source of this 981-nucleotide long non-coding RNA. RefSeq lists it as uncharacterized. Lineage: Eukaryota; Viridiplantae; Streptophyta; Magnoliopsida; Poales; Poaceae. The transcript is spliced from 4 exons. The record is from RefSeq and is a predicted model, not a curated record.
AACCUUCUUCGCAGGCUCUGGACAUCCGCCGCCGCCGCCGCGUCCCCGUUCCAUCCCGCCCUAGCGCGCCGUGAGCCUCCACGAUGCACGUCCGCCGCCCAGCGCCGCCACGGAGGCCACUCAACGCCGAGCCGCCCGACGCGGAACACCACCCCCGCCGCUUUCCCGUCGUACGCGGCCAUCGCGCGCCGCAGGCCUCCGCGGUAUCCGCCACCAGCAUAGCCCCGCCACCGAACUCCGCCGCCGCUGGCCAUCCAACUGCGCCGCUGCCGCUCGCCUUCACCGGCGUGCUGUGGUCGCAGUGGGGCGCCGAGGGGAAGGGACAACAAAGCAUUCCCUAACCACACCAAGUGUUUUUUUUUUCUACUUUUGGUGAUUCUCCGAUGGAUUCCCCUGAUAGCAGAGCAGUUUCACUAGCUAGGCCCUUCCUCACCCCACCUCGAGUUCUCCAGCGGCCACGAUCUUUGCCCAUCGCUCAGCCUCAGGCUAUCUCCAGAUUGUGAACAAGAUUGCAAACAAUCAGAUUGUCAUGAGAUGCGGAUCUUUAUCACUAUUCAGCCAGAGCCUUAAAGAGAUGUUUAUGUGAGCCUAAAAAUGCAGCAGAGAUCACACAUCUCCUGCUUAGCAGAUUGCAAACAAGAUUGCGAACAAUCAGAUUGUCAUGAGAUGCGGACCUUGAUCAAUUGCGAACAAGUUUGCGAACAAUGAGAUUGUCAUGAGAUGCGGACCUUUAUCAGUAAGUCUGUUUUUUUUUCAUGUGUACUCCACCAUGAUACCAUGUUACAUGAAACCACAUUUUUGUUUUGAAAACCACAAAAACAGUAAUCUAUCAUGUUAUGUUGGCAAACCUGUAUGUAUAUAUGGGAGGAAAAAAUGCAAUAACAGUUUUCAAAUAUUCUGAACUGCUCGUCACUAGAAAAUGUUGCAUUUGUUCUUGUACUUAUACUGAUUAUGCAAUUCCAGUCCAUCAUCCUAUUGUUA